RNAcentral lists this long non-coding RNA (438 nucleotides) under Fukomys damarensis (Damara mole-rat). RNAcentral's name for it is "lncRNA (ENSFDAG00000023932.1)". The record is from RNAcentral. Lineage: Eukaryota; Metazoa; Chordata; Mammalia; Rodentia; Bathyergidae.
GCUCCACGCUCCUCCCUGAGCGGCUCAUCUCCGGCCUAGCAGCCAGCUGCUCUGGAUCUUCCCUUGGAGCCAGACGCGGGCCCUGGCUCAGGCUGCCGUGGAAGGCGUGAGACCAGCAUCUUGGCACCGGACAAAGGCCCAGGGAGGCGCAGGAGGGCUCAGGCAGGGCCCUGAGUCAAGUUGCAAUUUCAGUCCUAGCAACAGAUAUAAAAUCUACUCAAAGAAGUGAGGUACAGAGCAAACCGCUGACCCCGCAAAUUGAAGAAACAGAUCCAUGAAUUCAGGGAGUCAUGUCCACCCCAGCAGAGCCCACCCACAACCUCCAGGGGAUCUAGAAUCUGGGUAGGAAAAUGUGACCUGCGGUUGAUUGAUUGAAGGAGUCUCAGUGUGCACAAGUAUUAGGAUUAAAAAUUCUAGGAGGACCCAGUUAUAGAGGCC